AUUCCGAAAUUAUAAAGUCAAAAUAGAAAGGAAAAAAGGCCUAAUUGGAGGAGAGCAAGAAGAUGGGUUGCUUCGAUUGCUUCGAUGGAGGCAGCAAAAGAGAGCAUAGGAGAGAAGAAGAACAAUUAGCCUCCGAAGAAGCUCGUGCGAGAGCUGCCGAGGCCGCCCAAAAAAGGCAAGAACAAUAUGAAAAAUCUGCUGCAGGAAGAGCAGCACGUGCACAAAUGGCAGCUGCUGCCAAGCAAGCAACGAAUGCAAACCAAGGAGAACCAGUUCUUAAGUGGCAGAUGGGAUGAGCAUUAGCUCUCUUAGGUUAGCUUCUUCCGUUCAUUGUCUUUUGUUAUUUUGUGGUCAUCCUUCAGAUUCCUCACCAUUGUCUAUCUUUAAAUCAAACCAAUCACAGCCCCCCAACCUUUUCUUCCAAUGGAAGUGUUCCUGUGUCCAAGUUUUGGCGAAGACAUCUUAGGUGCUGAAGUUCUCCUUUGAGCUGAAGUUUGAUAUCCAACAAUCUGUUUGUGGUGAGGUGAGCAGUUGUAAAUAUGUUGCUCUUAUUUAAUUUAGUGUUUUCUCCAAUCUAUCUGUAAACUGAAAUGAGAAUAAAUCUGACAAUUUGUAUUUCCAAUCUUCGACCAGUCAAUUUACUCUUCCUGUCUCCAUU
RNA transcript from Solanum dulcamara, 658 nucleotides. RefSeq lists it as uncharacterized. The record is from RefSeq and is a predicted model, not a curated record. The transcript has 5 exons. Lineage: Eukaryota; Viridiplantae; Streptophyta; Magnoliopsida; Solanales; Solanaceae.